This 253-nucleotide ribosomal RNA is filed under the name uncultured bacterium. RNAcentral's name for it is "partial 16S ribosomal RNA". It matches the Rfam family "Bacterial small subunit ribosomal RNA", at positions 524 to 776 of the family's 1533-position model. The record is from RNAcentral.
UACGUAGGGUGCGAGCGUUGCCCGGAUUUAUUGGGCGUAAAGGGCGCGUAGGCGGCCACGCACGUCCGUUGUGAAAUCGCUCGGCUCAACUGGGCGGGGUCAGCGGAUACGGUGUGGCUAGAGCAAGCUAGGGGGCAAUGGAAUUCCCGGUGUAGUGGUGGAAUGCGUAGAUAUCGGGAGGAACACCAGUGGCGAAGGCGGUUGCCUGGAGCUUUGCUGACGCUGAUGCGCGAAAGCGUGGGGAGCGAGCCGG